AGAAAUCAACGAUAAAGCCCAUGAGGAUGAGUGUGAAUGCUGUGUCAGACACAUUUGUACAUACAAAACGGUUUCUUACCGGCAGCCGGAGUCCACGUCCGUGUAAAGCCGGAGCAUGAACUCUCCUUCUGUGAAAGGCUUGAAGGUGGUCGGGAUGACGACAUAUCGGCCCUGUGGCAGCUCACAUCUCAUGAACACCGACCGAGCGUCGAUGUAGGUGGAGGUCGAUGGCUUCCGCCACGGCUCCACUGAAAUCCACCACAGCAUCUCCAGUGUUGCCUCCAGCCAGGGACUCAUAGCAGCCAAACAGC
Long non-coding RNA from Poecilia latipinna (sailfin molly), 311 nucleotides. RefSeq lists it as uncharacterized. The record is from RefSeq and is a predicted model, not a curated record. Lineage: Eukaryota; Metazoa; Chordata; Actinopteri; Cyprinodontiformes; Poeciliidae. The transcript is spliced from 3 exons.